RNAcentral lists this ribosomal RNA (447 nucleotides) under uncultured bacterium. Its description in RNAcentral is "bacterial SSU rRNA". It matches the Rfam family "Bacterial small subunit ribosomal RNA", at positions 355 to 825 of the family's 1533-position model. The record is from RNAcentral.
UGGGGAAUAUUGGACAAUGGGCGAAAGCCUGAUCCAGCAAUGCCGCGUGAGUGAUGAAGGCCUUAGGGUUGUAAAGCUCUUUUACCAGGGAUGAUAAUGACAGUACCUGGAGAAUAAGCUCCGGCUAACUCCGUGCCAGCAGCCGCGGUAAUACGGAGGGAGCUAGCGUUGUUCGGAAUUACUGGGCGUAAAGCGUACGUAGGCGGUUAUUCAAGUCAGAGGUGAAAGCCCGGGGCUCAACCCCGGAACGGCCUUUGAAACUAGAUAGCUAGAAUCUUGGAGAGGUCAGUGGAAUUCCGAGUGUAGAGGUGAAAUUCGUAUAUAUUCGGAAGAACACCAGUGGCGAAGGCGACUGACUGGACAAGUAUUGACGCUGAGGUACGAAAGCGUGGGGAGCAAACAGGAUUAGAUACCCUCGUAGUCCCUGAGCGGGCUGGCAAGGCGCAU